AAUAGUUUAAUGCCACAUCAGUAUUCUUAUCCUGAAUUUCAGGAUUUUAUCCUGAAAAAAAUCAAAUCCAAAUUAAAAUCCUGAAAUUCAGGAUUUUAAUACUGAUGUGGCAUAAAACUAUU
Molecule: non-coding RNA, 122 nt
Organism: Gossypium arboreum
Lineage: Eukaryota; Viridiplantae; Streptophyta; Magnoliopsida; Malvales; Malvaceae
Source: Rfam